This is a non-coding RNA of Corylus avellana, 2640 nucleotides long. NCBI's taxonomy places the organism in Eukaryota, Viridiplantae, Streptophyta, Magnoliopsida, Fagales, Betulaceae. The record is from RefSeq and is a predicted model, not a curated record.
UGGACGCUGAAAUACAAGUUCAACCAACCUACAGUUCUUCGCCCAAAGUAAAAGAUAGCCUCUCGACCAUGUUACGUCGGGGCCAGUCUUACCACCGAUACCUCAUGAUCGCCACCGCCCGUUUCCGGCCGUUCUCAACCGUCGGUCCCAACCAGACACUCCCCCAAUCUUACACCGUCACGCCUCCGAUCAAGCCCUGGCCCCAGCGGCUCUACCCCAAGCGCCUCGCCUCCAUGGUCACUCGCCAGCAAAAUCUCGACCUUGCCCUCCAAAUAUUCCAAUACGCUGGCCAAUUCCACCCCGGUUUUUCCCACAAUUACGACACUUACCACGCCAUCAUCCAGCGCCUCUGCCGCGCCCGUGAGUUCGAAUCCGUCGAGUCCUUGAUCUCAGAGCUUAGUCGUUCUGAGAUCAAAUGCGGCGAAAACCUUUUCAUCGACGUAAUUCGAAGUUAUGGCCUCUCGGGUCGACCUGAUUCGGCGUUAAAAACCUUCCUACGCAUCGAAGACUUCGGUGUUCAACGCUCGGUGAGGUCGUUGAACACUUUGUUAAACGCUUUGGUUCAGACCAGGCGGUAUACUUUGGUGCAUGUAUUGUUCAAGAACAGUAAAUCAAGAUUUGGGGUAGUGCCCAAUGUGUUCACUUGUAAUAUUUUGAUCAAAGCCAUGUGCAAGAAGAAUGACGUGGAAGGUGCAGUCGAGGUGCUCGAUGAAAUGCCUGCAAUGGGAAUGAUACCUAAUUUGGUUACUUACACUACGAUUUUAGGUGGGUAUGUUGCGCGGGGAGAUAUGGUUAGUGCGAGGAAGGUUUUUGGUGAGGUUUUGGAUAAAGGAUGGAUGCCCGAUGCAACUGCGUAUACAGUUUUGAUGGAUGGCUUUUGUAAGCUAGGGAGGUUGGUUGAUGCAAUCAAGGUGAUGGAUGAUAUGGAGGAGAAUGGGGUUGAGCCGAAUGAGGUUGCUUAUGGUGUCAUGAUUGACGCUUAUUGUAAAGAGAAGAAGUCAGGGGAAGCACGUAACCUGCUUGAUGAUAUGCUUGACAAGAAGUAUAUACCGAACUCGACACUUUGUUGUAAGGUGAUCGAUGUGCUGUGCGAAGAAGGGAAGGUUGAGGAUGCGUGUUUGUUGUGGAAGAAACUAUUGAAGAAGAAUGUUAUGCCGGAUAAUGUAAUAUUGAGUUCCCUUAUAUAUUGGCUUUGUAAGAAGGGGGACAUAUGGGAAGCCAGGAAGCUAUUCGAUGAGUUUGAGAAGGGUUCCAUUCCAAGUGUUUUGACGUAUAAUACACUUAUAGCGGGAAUGUGCGAGAGGGGGGAGUUGUAUGAGGCGGGGAGGUUGUGGGAUGACAUGCUGGAAAAGGGAUGUGCUCCUAAUGCUUUUACUUAUAACAUGUUGAUUAAGGGGUUUCGUAAGGUUGGCAAUGCGAAGGAGGGGAUUAGAAUCCUGGAGGAGAUGUUGGAAAAAGGAUGUUUGCCGAACAAUUCGACUUACUCUAUAUUGAUUGAUGGUCUUUAUGACUCAGGACAGGAAGAAGAAGUUGUAAAGGUUCUUUCAUUGGCCAUGUCAAGUGGAGGAGUUGAUAGUGAUUCUUGGGGCCUUUUCUUUACCGAUAUGAUUGGUAAUCUUGAUAGUGGGACAUGUGAUCUCAACAGAAUAUUAAUGGAGAGUGCUUCUUAAAACUAUACUGAAUAUAUAUGGUCACAUUCACAGAGAUGGGGUUAGGGGUGGAUCAAUUUGAGAUAAUGCAGGAGUUAACAAAAUCUCACAUCCAUGAUCCAACCCUAUUCCCUUCUCUCCCCAGACACUCUGAAGCAUCUCUGGUGUCUUUGCUUCUUUACAGAGACGUCCCUGAACAAGUUUGCCGUGUUAUGUGUUCCGCUUAAUGCAGAAUGAGCUGUGCUUGGUGACCAGUGUGUUUGAGUUGCCCUUGUUCGAUUCACUAUCUUGGUGUGCAUAUCUAUUAUCAGAGAGGUGAAUAGCAAGCAAGGGUUCUCAUCCAUUCACAUAUUGGAUUUAGAUCACGUUGGGGCAUGUAUAUAAGACUAUAUAAGUCAACUCUAACCCGAUCAAUUUAAUUAAACAGGUCAAGCCCCUCAACUUUAACUUGCUAAUUUUUUGUUGAGUUUAUGGGUCGUGCAAAAAAUUGACAGUCCUAAAUGUUGGGUGUCGGGUUCGGAUAGUGUCAAGGCAUGAAUAUAAGAUUAUAUAAGUCAACUCUAACUUGACCCAUCUAAUUAAAGAGGAACAUGGUUUGAUGGGAGCUGAGCUGUUGGGCCAAACGCAUCUGAGCAGGUCUAGGAAGAAGCUGGUCUUAUUAUGAACUUUCAGAAUGUUUCAGUUCUGGUGAUGGCCAGGAUAUCAGUCUCUUGGUGUGCAUGCUAGAGUCCCCAGGAAUUGAAGAAGUAGAACUCAGCUCUCAAUACCUUAGCCUCCCUGAGAAGAUUGUUAACUUGCCACUGCAGCAUUGGUGCCUACCCAAUUCAUAAUAAUUCUCCAGAACUAAGUAAAUCAACAGCUCUCUGCACUCUACAGUGCAACAUGGUUUUACAGGCAUCAGAUAUAUAGGGACACAUCAUAAGUUAGGGAGGUUUAUUUUCCAAUCAGCUAAUUUACUUUGGGAUAGCAAAGUCACCAUUUGUACAUUGUA